Trichobilharzia regenti is the source of this 46-nucleotide non-coding RNA. Lineage: Eukaryota; Metazoa; Platyhelminthes; Trematoda; Strigeidida; Schistosomatidae. The record is from Rfam.
GUACUGAUGAAGAGUCCCAAACUAGGACGAAACAGCCGCCCAGUAC